CUACGUAGGGUGCGAGCGUUGUCCGGAAUUACUGGGCGUAAAGAGCUCGUAGGUGGUUUGUCGCGUCGUCUGUGAAAUUCCGGGGCUUAACUCCGGGCGUGCAGGCGAUACAGGCAUAACUUGAGUACUGUAGGGGAGACUGGAAUUCCUGGUGUAGCGGUGAAAUGCGCAGAUAUCAGGAGGAACACCGGUGGCGAAGGCGGGUCUCUGGGCAGUAACUGACGCUGAGGAGCGAAAGCGUGGGUAGCGAACAGGAUUAGAUACCCUGGUGGUCCAUGCCGUAAACGGUGGGCGCUAGGUGUAGGGGUCUUCCACGACUUCUGUGCCGUAGCUAACGCAUUAAGCGCCCCGCCUGGGGAGUACGGCCGCAAGGCUAAAACUCAAAUGAAUCGACGGGG
RNAcentral lists this ribosomal RNA (398 nucleotides) under uncultured bacterium. RNAcentral describes it as "partial 16S ribosomal RNA". It matches the Rfam family "Bacterial small subunit ribosomal RNA", at positions 523 to 918 of the family's 1533-position model. The record is from RNAcentral.